Molecule: ribosomal RNA, 354 nt
Filed under: uncultured bacterium
Lineage: Bacteria
Description: bacterial SSU rRNA
Rfam family: Bacterial small subunit ribosomal RNA
Source: RNAcentral
AACGAACGCUGGCGGCGCGCUUAACACAUGCAAGUCGAACGAGAAGGCGUAGCAAUACGCUUGUACAGUGGCGAACGGGUGAGUAAUACGUGGGCGACCUACCUCGAGUGGGAAUAACCCGCCGAAGGCGGGCUAAUGCCGCGUACGCUUUCCAUCUUUAUGGAGGUGGAAGGAAAGCCGUGCCGUGGGCACGGCGCUCAAGGAUGGGCUCACGUCCUAUCAGCUUGUUGGUAGGGAACGGCCUACCAAGGCUCCGACGGGUAGCUGGUCUGAGAGGACGAUCAGCCACACUGGCACUGCGGACACGGGCCAGACUCCUACGGGAGGCAGCAGUGAGGAAUAUUGCGCAAUGGG